This is a long non-coding RNA of Gadus morhua (Atlantic cod), 267 nucleotides long. RefSeq lists it as uncharacterized. Lineage: Eukaryota; Metazoa; Chordata; Actinopteri; Gadiformes; Gadidae. The record is from RefSeq and is a predicted model, not a curated record. The transcript is spliced from 3 exons.
UAUAUAUAAAUAUUUACAUAUUUAUAGUGAAUUUCCCCAAAUGUUUGACCUGUAACAUGGUACAUUAUUUAUUUAGUUCCACUUGUCAUUUAUUGUUGGUUCCGAUGGGGCGCUAAUUGGGGUCGCACACGCCCAGACUUCCUCUCGUUCGGCAGUUUGGAAAGGGGGGAUGUCAGCGUUAUCUCCAACUGCCCGCGUGUGAUAUACCCUGUUGUCCUAUGUUACAGUUUGGAAGGGGAAUAAAUGCUGUCAGAUCCACUCCACGUC